AAUGUACUCCCUCCGUCUGAAAACGCUUGUCCGAAGAAUGAAUGUAUCUAGAUGAAUUUUAGUUCUAGAUACAUCCAUUUCUAUUCAUUUUUACGACAAGUAAUUCCGGACGGAGGGAGUACUUA
Non-coding RNA from Hordeum vulgare subsp. vulgare (domesticated barley), 125 nucleotides. Lineage: Eukaryota; Viridiplantae; Streptophyta; Magnoliopsida; Poales; Poaceae. The record is from Rfam.